UACGCAGGGUGCAAGCGUUACUCGGAAUUACUGGGCGUAAAGCGUGCGUAGGUGGUGAGUUACGUCUGUCGUGAAAGCCCCGGGCUCAACCUGGGAAUGGCGAUGGAUACUGGCUCGCUAGAGUGCGGUAGAGGAGAGUGGAAUUCCCGGUGUAGCAGUGAAAUGCGUAGAGAUCGGGAGGAACAUCAGUUGCGAAGGCGGCUCUCUGGACCAGCACUGACACUGAGGCACGAAAGCGUGGGGAGCAAACAGG
Molecule: ribosomal RNA, 253 nt
Filed under: uncultured bacterium
Lineage: Bacteria
Description: partial 16S ribosomal RNA
Rfam family: Bacterial small subunit ribosomal RNA
Source: RNAcentral